AUGGCCUGCAAGUCGGCGUCCCUGCUGAUCCUCGCGGCGCUGGUGGCCGCCGCGGCGUGCUCGGGCUUGGCAACGGCGCGCGACGUCCCGACAGUGAAGGAGGAUGCGGUGAAGCGGCCAGAGACGUUCCAGGAGGGGACGGUGCUGAUCCCGGGGAUCGGGCGGUACGAGCUGGGCAGCCACUACAGGCCGGACAUCGGCGGGCUGGACCACAGCAUUCCGGCCGCCGCCAACGGGCAGUUCAUCCCCGGCGCCGACGACACCUGGGUGCCCAACCCCGGCUUCGAGGUGCCCAACCCCUUCCGCCCCGCAGCCACCACGGAGUCCCCCUGA
RNAcentral lists this ribosomal RNA (333 nucleotides) under Triticum aestivum (bread wheat). RNAcentral describes it as "partial small subunit ribosomal RNA". Lineage: Eukaryota; Viridiplantae; Streptophyta; Magnoliopsida; Poales; Poaceae. The record is from RNAcentral.